GCGGGAACAUGUUUCAGAUGGGACUCCAGGCCCUGGAGCCCAUCCUGACCCUCUGGCUUGGAAUUUCUGACUCUCCUCUCCGCCUUGACUCAGAAUAGGAAACCGUAUCCUGACCGCGCGCUGCUUUUUAUAGAAUCAAACUUUCUUGCCAACUUCCUCCAGAGAUCGCCCCUCAUCGGCUCUGAACAAUGCGCCAAUCACCCGCUGGAAGAGAGGGGAGCGCUGACCCGGGUGCCCCCAACGCAGCCCAGGCCCAGAGCCCAAGGCAGACAGCUGGCACGGCGUCUGGCCCGGGUACCCGGCCUGGUGUCCCAGGCAAAAAGAGAGUGCCAAGGAGAAGGCAUGACAUGUCUGACUCCGUUAUUCAUAUACACCAAGUCAGCACUUCAACUCAAGAGACAUGACACAGAAACACACUGUUGGAAGGAAUUUCCCUUCCUUCUGUGGACAUACUGGAAUAGGAUGCCAUCAUGUGACUCCCUCUCGGGGUGACUAUGGCCAGGCCAGGCCAUUAACACCCAUCCAGUCACCUGACAUUGCACGCUGUCACCGUGACAUCAUACUACUGAACCAACACAUCCUCCUUCCUUGGAAUAAAAAGACAUUUUCAUAAGACUUAUUAUGUCUGGAUAGGAAUCAUAUUCAUCAUUAGUCAGUUGGCUUGCUGUCCACAGUAUUUAAGUGAAGAGAAACAAACCAGAAGAAGAAGAAGAAGAAGAAGAAGAAGAAGAAGAAGAAGAAGAAGAAGAAGAAGAAGAAGAAAGAGAAAAAGACCAGUUUAAGAUCUUCAAGACACUGAUGAGUAAGUAAUGAUGGGGGGAAAGCAACAGUGACCUUAAGAAAAAAGAAACAACUCAAAGUGUAAAAAAAUCCACAAAGAUACUCUUAACAUUCAAUAUUCGUCUUUACUUCAAAAAAUAAGGAGAGGGAUGGUUAAAGAGAUGAAUUCACAUUUGAACAGAGUCCAAAUGACCUAAGAUUAUUUGUAUUCUAAUUUUUCAGAUGGACAAGGAGGGAUACCACAGUUAUGUGAUACAUUAGGGGUCGAAAUGAAAUGGGAAUACUUCUUUCAUUUAAAAGCAGUGUUCUUGCCUUUGCGGUCCCUGAGAGUUUCUUAGCUGGUGAGCGACAACCAGCCCCUUCCUCCUUGGGCUCCUAUUUCAGAUCCAACCUGGUUAGGGGAGGGGAGAGAACGGAGUUAUGGUUGUGAGAGCUCCCUUUUAAGAAUCAUGUGGCUGCAAGCGAGGGCUUUCCAGUAGGCUUGAGAGGUCAGUCGUUUUGAAUCUGAAUUGGAAAGCUUGGGUAAUAGCAGAAUGGCAGAACCACACCUGAGCUGGAUGCUGGUUUUGGAAACAACCCCCUCCCCGCCCCCCCCCCUCCCAGGGAAGAUACCACCAUGAGACCCAUCACUGCUGAGUGGGGCAAAACAGGAAGUGCCAGCUUGGAAAGACAGGAAGCAGGUGGCUGAGUUCUCCUCCACCGCAUCUCAAAAAUAGAGCACAUGAGGUGGCCUCAUCAAGCAAAAUUUAACUUGAGGCCCAGCAACCAUUUAGUGAGUACCUACUAUGUGCCAGGUGCUAUGCUAAGAGCUCUCACGUAGGGCAUCUCAUUAAACCCCAGUGAUCAGCAGGAACAUCCUAGCAGAUUCUGCCUCUUUUCCCUUCCGAAGAGUGGAUGUGAUAGUUACUAGCACAGGGUUUCUCAGCUUCAGCACUAUAGGAUGUUUAAGCAGCAUCCCUGGCCUCCACCCACUGGAUGUCAAUAGCAUACCCUGCCCUAGUUAAGACAACCAAAAUAUGUCUCUAGACAUCGCCAACUGUCCCCUAGAAGGGCAAACUUACCCCCAGUUGAGACCCUCUUCCUUCGAACCCGGGACCCUUGAGUUUUCAGGAAUGGAUCGGAUGCCCAGGCAGCCACAGGUACACAUGCCCCUUGUUCCCUCCUAGGGUCUGACUCAGUGGUGCUCAGACCUGUGUGUUCCAUGCAUAAUACUGUAUAUACUCUACUCGACAGGCAGGGAUUUUCAAGGGAAAGCUGAUUCCAUCUAUGUUUGCCUUAGAACCAGCUGGCAUAGAACCAGCCCUUCUCUGAAGUGUAACUGCCUGGGCAGCCUUGCGGGGUCACAAGGCCUUCCCAGCACAGAGUCUGUGUCGCCUGGACUUAUUUUGUGAAGCUGAUGACGCUGACGGCCAGGUCUGAACACAGGGCCUGGCGUCGGGGCCCCCCUCACUGCAUCCUCAGGCCGUCACGAGGAGGCGGGCACUCUGACUGCCCUGUUUUGCGAGGAGACGCUGAGGAUCACCCAGGUUAAAAAACUUGCAGCCAAUCACACAGCCAGUCAAUGGAAGAGACUGAAGCUGAAGAAGAUAAAGCGAAUGGCCCAAGGUCACCCCUUGGUAAACUUUGGGCCCAGGCUGCCCACUCAGGUCUCAUUCUUUGAGCCCCAAAUCUCAUGCUUUUCACCUAAAGGGCUUCCAAGGUAAAGGUGGACUUGGAGUAGAGAUCCUCAUCCUUCCAUCUCCCCAGCCCUGACCCUGUCCUGUUACCAUUGGGAAGUCAACAAAGACUUGUUUGAUGUGACUCAACCUCUUAGACUGUUGACAGUCCUUGACAAUUUUUUGACAAGGGAGAAAGGAACAGUUCAACAUUUCGAGGCAACCUGUGGUUCGGUCAACACACCAAAAGGAGUGGGAACAGGGUGAGAACGUGAAACAGAUAUGGCUUCACCGUUAUCUGCAGAGGGGCGUUAAGAAUGCCUAAUGGUGACAGGUCACUCUCCAUGGAAAAACACAACCUCUGUGCAAUGUUUUGUUUGUGUUAUUGUUUGUUCUUGCGAAAAGAUGACAAACGGAAAGUUAAACAUUAUAGUGAGAACUCUGUUAAUUGAGCUGGGCAGGCGUUGAAUGCAGGCCUGUAUUUGUCCGACUCUGAAAAAAAUGCUUUGUGAAGCCCAGUUCUUUCAGGCAAGUCAGCAGGGGAAGGGCUUAGCCUGCUCAAGACCAUUGUUUUCAAGCAAGCUGACAACCGCUCUGCACUCUGCCAGGGUUCCUUUAAUGAGCUCAUUACAAAGGGCUCCGAGGUGUCCUCCGCAGCCAGGCCUGGAGGAGCUCUGCUUAGGCAACACGGAAGGAGUCCUUAGCACCUGAAAUACCCGGACACUGUAAACGCUUAAAACGCAUAACGCGAUAAUGUAUCUGCCAACCUCAGACUGAUCUUCCGUAACCGGCAGGUCUUUUUCGGUGGCAAGCAACAGAAAAACGACUCCGAUUCGCUGAAACAGAAAGGAGUACUUGCUAGUGUUCGGCAUGGCUGAAUCCCUAUGCUUAAAGGACAUCAGCGGGAUUCUGACUUUGCCCAUUUCCUGUUUUUUUCUUCCUUGGUGUUCGCUCCCUUCUCAAGCAGCUUUCCCGAAAUGGUGUUAAAACGGUUCCUGGCACUUUCAGCCUCACAGUCUACCAGCUCAGCAUCCCAGUCUACUGAGGGGACCUAUUUCUGAGUAGUUCCAGCGGGGGGAAAAAAAAAAAAAAUCCCAGGGCUGUCUCUGAUUGGCCCAGCUCAGGUCACAUGCUCAUCCUUGAGCCAAUCCCAGUGGCCAGAGCAAUGCAGCACUCUCAUUAGUCAGGUCUGAGUCACGCCUAUCUUUAAAGCUCAGAUGUGAGCAGGCCCAGUUGAACCACAAGGAUCAAGCGGGAGGAGCAUUUCCCCAGAGAGCUAUCCAGAUUCUGAUGCCAGACCAUGGGGGCAGGGAGGAAGGGGUGGUGGAUGCUGAACAGGCAAAGCCAAUGGAAGUCCUUGGAACCUUCUCUCUGAAUUAUCUCCAACAAGUAAAGUGUUACUAAGCAGAGGAACCUCAUGUGGUUUACAAGCAUAAUUUAGAAAUUUGCUUAGAUAUCUGAGGUUUAAAACAUGGCCUGUUUUGGCUACAACAUUUUGGAAAUAUUUUCUGCAAAUUGCACUCACUCACAUGGCUUGAAGCUUUGGAAUUUUUCUUUCUUUCUUUCUUUCUUUCUAACUUUCUUUUCUCUCUUUAUUUUUUUUAUUAUUAUUUUUUUUAUUCUUGGAACAAGUCCUUAAGAAAAAGAGGAACAGAAAUGCCACAAAAUGAUUUGAAACAGACGACUCUGAGAGCAGCGGAGAUGGCAAAUUAGCACAGUUGAGAUUCCUUCUGUCCUGAUGACAUUUCUUAGGCCUCUCCUUUUUCUAUGAUAAGGACAGUGUUCCUAAUUACAAAAGCAAUACCUGCCCAGUUCAGAAAGAACUGAAUGCAUACGAAAGUACUACACACACACUCACACACGCACACACAUGCACAUGCACGCGCACACGUGUACACACACACACACACACACACACACACACUAUGGCCCACCAUUUUAGUUAGAAGAAUCUAUUCAAGGAGUACCAUGCCCUAGGUCUUGUCCAGGCACUACCCUAGCCCCAUUUCACAGAUGAGGAAGCUGAGGUUUACAGCAUCCAAGUUGAUGAGUGGAAGACUUAGGAAUUCAACUCGUGUCUUUCUGCCCUCAAAGCCCUUGUCCUUAUCCAUUCUGUUAUUACUCCAAAAUUAAGAGUUCCAAAUUAACCUUACAAAAAUGGCAGAUUGACCGUAAUGCUUUAUCACCUGCUUUUUUAAAUAUACUAUGUUUUCCCAUGCCAUUCUGUAUAUUUCUAUGUAACUUUCUUGGAUUGUAUUAAACCAUCAUUGACUCAACGAGCUGGACAUUGAGGUUACUGCUAACAUUUCGGUAUUAUAUUAAUGCUCCAGUGAGCCACUUUGGGGGGACAUUUUAACAUACAUCUCUGAUUAUAUCCUUGGUAAAAUUUCUAGAAUUGCUGGAUCAAAAGGACUAGAUACUUUUAGUGUUGACUAUGGAUUACAAAAUUGUUCUUCAGAAAAGCAUGCCCAAUGCACAAUCCCACAGCCACGUCUGAAUUUCUGUUUCCCCGCUCUGUCCCAUUCUGCCUCUUCCUCCGAGAUUGCUAGUCAUUAGCCAGUUGUGCCGCUCACUACCUGCAAUGGGGAAUGGGAGCCUUUUUAAAGUACAUCACUCGACAGCAUUCUAAUGGU
Pipistrellus kuhlii (Kuhl's pipistrelle) is the source of this 5068-nucleotide long non-coding RNA. RefSeq lists it as uncharacterized. The record is from RefSeq and is a predicted model, not a curated record. NCBI's taxonomy places the organism in Eukaryota, Metazoa, Chordata, Mammalia, Chiroptera, Vespertilionidae. The transcript has 4 exons.